This 465-nucleotide ribosomal RNA is filed under the name uncultured bacterium. RNAcentral describes it as "partial 16S ribosomal RNA". It matches the Rfam family "Bacterial small subunit ribosomal RNA", at positions 28 to 507 of the family's 1533-position model. The record is from RNAcentral.
GAUGAACGCUGGCGGCGUGCUUAACACAUGCAAGUCGAACGGAAAGGCUCCUGCUUGCAGGGGUACUCGAGUGGCGAACGGGUGAGUAACACGUGGGUGAUCUGCCCUGCACUUCGGGAUAAGCCUGGGAAACUGGGUCUAAUACCGGAUAGGACCACAUUUUGGAUGGUGUGGUGGAAAGUUUUUCGGUGUGGGAUGCGCUCGCGGCCUAUCAGCUUGUUGGUGGGGUAAUGGCCUACCAAGGCGUCGACGGGUAGCCGGCCUGAGAGGGUGUACGGCCACAUUGGGACGGAGAGACGGCCCAGACUCCUACGGGAGGCAGCAGUGGGGAGUAUUGCACAAUGGGCGCAAGCCUGAUGCAGCGACGCCGCGUGGGGGAUGACGGCCUACGGGUUGUAAACUCCUUUCGCUGGGGACGAAGCGCAAGUGACGGUACCUGGAGAAGAAGCACCGGCUAACUACGUG